UGGGGAAUUUUGGACAAUGGGGGCAACCCUGAUCCAGCCAUGCCGCGUGAGUGACGAAGGUCUUCGGAUUGUAAAACUCUUUUGGCGGGGACGAUAAUGACGGUACCCGCAGAAUAAGCCCCGGCUAACUUCGUGCCAGCAGCCGCGGUAAUACGAAGGGGGCUAGCGUUGUUCGGAAUCACUGGGCGUAAAGGGCGUGUAGGCGGUCUGUUAAGUCUGAUGUGAAAUCCCCUCGCUCAACGAGGGAACUGCGUCCGAUACAGCACGUCUCGAGUCCGGAAGAGGUGAGUGGAAUUCCUAGUGUAGAGGUGAAAUUCGUAGAUAUUAGGAAGAACACCAGUGGCGAAGGCGGCUAACUGGUCCGGUACUGACGCUGAGGUGCGAAAGCGUGGGGAGCAAACAGGAUUAGAUACCCCUGUAGUCCCUGAGCGGGCUGGCAAGGCGCAU
Molecule: ribosomal RNA, 447 nt
Filed under: uncultured bacterium
Lineage: Bacteria
Description: bacterial SSU rRNA
Rfam family: Bacterial small subunit ribosomal RNA
Source: RNAcentral